UGAGUGCGAGCGGCUACUGCCGCGAAGUGGGUGAUGUCAAGCUUCCAAGAAAAGCCCUAUACCCGUUAAGGCAUGAUGGCCUGUACCCGAAACCGACACAGGUGGGGUGGUAGAGAAUACCGAGGGGCGCGAGGUAACUCUCUCUAAGGAACUCGGCAAAAUGGCCCCGUAACUUCGGGAGAAGGGGUGCCACCGCAAGGUGGUCGCAGUGAAGAGGCCCAGGCGACUGUUUACCAAAAACACAGGUCUCCGCUAAGUCGCAAGACGAUGUAUGGGGGCUGACGCCUGCCCAGUGCCGGAAGGUUAAGGAAGCUGGUCAGCGCAAGCGAAGCUGGCGACUGAAGCCCCGGUGAACGGCGGCCGUAACAAUAACGGUCCUAAGGUAGCGAAAUUCCUUGUCGGGUAAGUUCCGACCCGCACGAAAGGCGUAACGAUCUGGGCGCUGUCUCGGAGAGAGGCUCGGCGAAAUAGAAUUGUCUGUGAAGAUGCGGACUACGUGCACCCGGACAGAAAGACCCUAUGAAGCUUUACUGUAGCUUGGUAUUGUGCCCGGGCUCUGAAUGCGCAGGAUAGGUGGGAGGCUUUGAUCCAUGGCUUGCGGGUCAUGGUGAGCCAACGGUGAGAUACCACUCUUUCAGAGCUAGGGUUCUAACGGUCACCCGUCAUCCGGGGACCGGACAGUAUCAGGUGGGCAGUUUGACUGGGGCGGUCGCCUCCUAAAAGGUAACGGAGGCGCGCAAAGGUUUUGCUCAGGCUGGUUUGAGAUCAGCCGACGAGUGCAAAAGCAGGAGCAAGCUUGACUGUGAGACCUACAAGUCGAACAGGGACGAAAGUCGGCUUUAGUGAUCCGACGGUUCUGAGUGGAAGGGCCGUCGCUCAACGGAUAAAAGUUACUCUAGGAUAACAGGCUGAUCUCCCCCAAGAGUUCACAUCGACGGGGAGGUUUGGCACCUCGAUGUCGGCUCAUCGCAACCUGGGGCUGAAGUCGGUCCCAAGGGUUGGGCUGUUCGCCCAUUAAAGCGGUACGCGAGCUGGGUUCAGAACGUCGUGAGACAGUUCGGUCCAUAUCCGGUGCACGCGCAGGAACAUUGAGAGGAUUUCUCCCUAGUACGAGAGGACCGGGAGGAACGCACCUCUGGUGUGCCAGUUAUCGUGCCAACGGUAAACGCUGGGUAGCCAUGUGCGGAGUGGAUAACCGCUGAAAGCAUCUAAGUGGGAAGCCCACCUCAAGAUGAGUGUUCCCAUGGCAUAAGCCAGUAAGGUCACGGGAAGAACACCCGUUGAUAGGCUCUACGUGGAAGCCGGGUAACCGGUGAAGCGGAGGAGUACUAAUAGACCGAGGGCUUGACC
RNAcentral lists this ribosomal RNA (1350 nucleotides) under metagenome. Its description in RNAcentral is "bacterial LSU rRNA". It matches the Rfam family "Bacterial large subunit ribosomal RNA", at positions 1564 to 2925 of the family's 2925-position model. The record is from RNAcentral.